GAGAGAGUGUGUGUUCGCUUGGCAGUAUAUAUAUUUUUUGUUUGUUUUUCAUUAGUUCAAAUUAGGAACAAGCUUGUUUCACAUAUCAAUCCUUUCUCCCUCUCCCUCCCGUCAACCCACCUCCCACCCCAUUCCCCCUCCACGAAGAGGAUGAAGAGAGAGGACGACCUUUCCCAAUAGAGGAGGACCAGUCUUAGGUCAAGGGAAUUACGAGUAGCUGCGCUCCCCUGUGAAAACCUCCAAACAAGCUCUCAAGGUCCAUUUGGCAGUGUAUUUAACUAGAACUGAAUUGUGGUUUGAAUUC
RNAcentral lists this small nuclear RNA (304 nucleotides) under Cricetulus griseus (Chinese hamster). Its description in RNAcentral is "7SK RNA". It matches the Rfam family "7SK RNA". Rfam says of the family: 7SK was discovered as an abundant small nuclear RNA in the mid-70s but a possible function has only recently been suggested. Lineage: Eukaryota; Metazoa; Chordata; Mammalia; Rodentia; Cricetidae. The record is from Rfam by way of RNAcentral.